UGGCUCAGAACGAACGCUGGCCGCAGGCUUAACACAUGCAAGUCGAGCGCCCCGCAAGGGGAGCGGCAGACGGGUGAGUAACACGUGGGUAAUCUGCCUCUGGGUGGGGAAUAACUCUGGGAAACCGGAGCUAAUACCGCAUAAGCCUGAAAGGGGAAAGGCGAAAGUCGCCGAGAGAGGAGCCCGCGGCUGAUUAGCUUGUUGGUAAGGUAAUGACUUACCAAGGCGACGAUCAGUAGCUGGUUUGAGAGAACGAUCAGCCACACUGGAACUGAGACACGGCCCCCACUCCUACGGGAGGCAGCAGUGGG
This 311-nucleotide ribosomal RNA is filed under the name uncultured bacterium. RNAcentral describes it as "bacterial SSU rRNA". It matches the Rfam family "Bacterial small subunit ribosomal RNA", at positions 20 to 358 of the family's 1533-position model. The record is from RNAcentral.